UACGUAGGGGGCAAGCGUUGUCCGGAAUCAUUGGGCGUCAAGCGCGUGUAGGCGGCCCGGUAAGUCCGCUGUGAAAGUCGGGGGCUCAACCCUCGAAUGCCGGUGGAUACUGUCGGGCUAGAGUGCGGAAGAGGCGAGUGGAAUUCCUGGUGUAGCGGUGAAAUGCGCAGAUAUCAGGAGGAACACCAAUUGCGAAGGCAGCUCGCUGGGACGUGACUGACGCUGAGACGCGAAAGCGUGGGGAGCAAACAGG
RNAcentral lists this ribosomal RNA (253 nucleotides) under uncultured bacterium. RNAcentral describes it as "partial 16S ribosomal RNA". It matches the Rfam family "Bacterial small subunit ribosomal RNA", at positions 524 to 776 of the family's 1533-position model. The record is from RNAcentral.